GCUGUGUACAUCAUGAGCUAGAUGUCCAUUAUCCCCGAGGGACGACCGAGACUUUUUUUGGUCGUCUUGUGUGUACUUUUUCGUUUUCCGUUUUUCUUUUGUUGUCGCUUCCUUCCUCCCGUUCCUUCGAAGAAAACACAAG
Molecule: non-coding RNA, 142 nt
Filed under: Lotharella globosa
Lineage: Eukaryota; Cercozoa; Chlorarachniophyceae
Source: RNAcentral